This 360-nucleotide long non-coding RNA is filed under the name Homo sapiens (human). RNAcentral's name for it is "HSALNT0153782". The record is from RNAcentral. Lineage: Eukaryota; Metazoa; Chordata; Mammalia; Primates; Hominidae.
UGUGUCUCCCAUGAACAAGAUUCUGAAGCCUGGGAUUUACGUUGGACUAAAAGGCUUCUUCGUCUUCUGCCUAAAACCCUGCAGCAGCGACUUGAUUGUUCUCCUGUUGCCAUCCUUGCUUCCCUUAAAUCUACUUGCCGCCAUCAUCUUCCCAAAAUACAGGUAAAGUCAUGCCACUGCUAAACUCUGUAGGACUCCUAUUGCCUCAGAAUCAAGAUUGUUUAUUCUUCCUAGCCUGGCACUCAGAGCACCUAUGAUCCUGACGCAGUCUGACUCUCUCAAAUUUAAUUUCUAACAUCUCUCCUUUCUUAACAUUUCUUAUAAUCCAACCAAGCUGUAACACUUGCCUUUAUGGGUUGG